UUUUAUUAUAUUAUUUUAAUUUUUAUUGUUGAAUAAAUUAAUAAAAAAAUAUAUAUUAUAUUAAUUAAAAUUUUAAAAAAAUUAAAUAUUAAUUUUUAGUAAAAAAUAAAAAUUAUAUUUUAAUAUAAAUAGAAAUUUUGAUUAAAAUUAUUUUAUUUAAUUUAAUUAUUUUUUAUAAUAAUAUUAUUUUUUUAAAAAUAUUGAUUUAUUUUUUUUAAUUAUUUAAUUAUUAUUAUUAAUUAAAAUUAUUUUUUAUUAUAUAAUUUAUUUUUUAAAUUAAAUUUAAUAUAAAAUAUUUAUUAAAAUUUAAGGAUAUUUUAUUUAUAAUUUUUUUUUUCUACUCAAUGAUAUUUUUAAUUGUAUCUUUAGCGUGAUUGGUCAAAGGUA
RNAcentral lists this ribosomal RNA (387 nucleotides) under Meloidogyne exigua. Its description in RNAcentral is "partial 16S ribosomal RNA". Lineage: Eukaryota; Metazoa; Nematoda; Chromadorea; Rhabditida; Meloidogynidae. The record is from RNAcentral.